Molecule: ribosomal RNA, 253 nt
Filed under: uncultured bacterium
Lineage: Bacteria
Description: partial 16S ribosomal RNA
Rfam family: Bacterial small subunit ribosomal RNA
Source: RNAcentral
UACGGGGGGGGCAAGCGUUGUUCGGAAUUACUGGGCGUAAAGCGCGCGUAGGUGGCCUCGUAAGUCCGCUGUGAAAGUCCAAGGCUCAACCUUGGAAAGCCGGUGGAUACUGUGAGGCUAGAGUACGGAAGAGGCGAGUGGAAUUCCUGGUGUAGCGGUGGAAUGCGCAGAUAUCAGGAGGAACACCAAUAGCGAAGGCAGCUCGCUGGGACGUUACUGACACUGAGGCGCGAAAGCGUGGGGAGCGAACAGG